This 247-nucleotide ribosomal RNA is filed under the name uncultured soil bacterium. RNAcentral's name for it is "partial 16S ribosomal RNA". It matches the Rfam family "Bacterial small subunit ribosomal RNA", at positions 26 to 267 of the family's 1533-position model. The record is from RNAcentral.
AGGACGAACGCUGGCGGCGUGCCUAACACAUGCAAGUUGAGCGACGAACCAGGGCUUGCCCUGGGGCAAAGCAGCGAACGGGUGAGUAACACGUGGGUAACCUGCCCCGAAAACUGGGACAACCCGAGGAAACUCGGGCUAAUACCGGAUGUGCUCUCCGGACUCAAGUCCGGCGAGUAAAGGAAGCUUCGGCCUCCGUUUCGGGAGGGGCCCGCGGCCCAUUAGCUUAGUUGGCGGUAAGGUACCG